Molecule: non-coding RNA, 865 nt
Organism: Kogia breviceps (pygmy sperm whale)
Lineage: Eukaryota; Metazoa; Chordata; Mammalia; Artiodactyla; Physeteridae
Source: RefSeq, a predicted model, not a curated record
CUCGAGUGUGUUGCCCAGGGACGCUUGACACCAUCUCAGAAUCCAAAGUGGACAUAUUUAUAGUGUGUCCCGACUCUGAAAGGAGUUAAGAGCAGAGAGCUGAAAAUAGUUGGUCUGGAUGGGAAAUGAAAAUCAAAUGUUCUCUUACUCUGAAGGGAGUGAUGAACGAAGAUUCAUAAUGUAAGAUGCUAUGUAGCACUCUGAGAAAAGAUGAUGCCUACAUUUUUAGCUUAAUUUAAGGGAAGAUGGCCCUGAACCCAGCACUGGAGAUACAGCAGUGAACAAAACAGCAACCCCGGCCCCAGGAAUUUUACGUUCUCUGAGGGGAGACAGGAAAUAACAAAUAAGAUGUUGUCUUGCGCCCAGGGCAGCUGUGAGUAUGUGAAUGCCUCAUCAAGUGACUGUGGACACCGCCCAAAUGGCAAUCAGCACAGAAACCUUAUAAAAUUGCCAACAGAUUACUGCUUCUGUCUGCCAGCACUUUCAAUGCCAGCCAGCCUGGGGGCUUGUUUUGUUUUGGGUUUUUUUGGUUUUGUUGUUUUUUUUCUACUGGAAUACGUUGUGAUUUAGAGAUCUCCGAAGAAUCCCUGCUUCUCUGAGGCCACCUAAACCAUGACCCCAUACAAUUAAAAUGGAUACCACUACGGCCAUACAGGUCUGCGUCGUACAAUUCAAGGAGACCGUUCACAUCGUGACUGAGCAGCAAGACAAUCUGUCUAUAACAGGAGGAGGGGUGAGGAACCUGAGGCCCGGAGAGUUACAUCUGUAGGGCUUCCCCGGUGGCACAGCUGUGAAGAAUCUGACUGCCAAUGCAGGGGACUUGGGUUUGAGCCCUGGUCUGGGAAGAUCUCACAUGCCACGGAGC